MicroRNA precursor from Oryza rufipogon (brownbeard rice), 162 nucleotides. It matches the Rfam family "MIR812 microRNA precursor family". The record is from Rfam. NCBI's taxonomy places the organism in Eukaryota, Viridiplantae, Streptophyta, Magnoliopsida, Poales, Poaceae.
AAAAAGGCAAACCCUGAAUUUUCGUGUCCAACUUUAACUGUUCGUCUUAUAUAAAAAAUUUUUAUAAUUCGUAUUUUCAUUGUUGUUAGAUGAUAAAAUAUAUUUUUUUUAAUAAGACAGACGGUCAAACGUUGGGUACGGAAACUAGGAUUUGCCUUUUUU